UACCAUACAAGAAAGAACGAUACUUUAGGCUGCAGCUGAUUGUUUGUGGCUGAGGUCCUCGAGAUUAAGUGCUUGAAGCAACUUUGGCCAGGAUUCGGGAAUCCCUCCAGGAAGAUCAAACUCUAAUAGCUUCCCGCGACUACGGUAGAAAUCCUCAACAGGUUGGCUCGUUUCUUUGUAUAUUCGGAGUCGUUCCUUCACAACUGCUUCAGUAUCAUCAGAUCGUGUGAUAAGUUUAGAUGCACAGUUGGGAGGAGGAAGAAG
This 264-nucleotide unclassified non-coding RNA is filed under the name Hevea brasiliensis (rubber tree). The record is from RNAcentral. Lineage: Eukaryota; Viridiplantae; Streptophyta; Magnoliopsida; Malpighiales; Euphorbiaceae.